AGUUGGGUCUUGCGCAAUGGGAACUCAUGAACCCCGCCAGGUCCGGAAGGAAGCAACGGUAAGUGACAACUCUCAUGUGCCGCGAGGGUGCCUGAUUCUU
Molecule: signal recognition particle RNA, 100 nt
Filed under: Anaerosporomusa subterranea
Lineage: Bacteria; Bacillati; Bacillota; Negativicutes; Acetonemataceae
Description: Bacterial small signal recognition particle RNA
Rfam family: Bacterial small signal recognition particle RNA
About the family: The signal recognition particle (SRP) is a universally conserved ribonucleoprotein involved in the co-translational targeting of proteins to membranes. Archaeal SRP consists of a 7S RNA and homologues of the eukaryotic SRP19 and SRP54 proteins.
Source: Rfam by way of RNAcentral